Molecule: ribosomal RNA, 468 nt
Filed under: uncultured bacterium
Lineage: Bacteria
Description: partial 16S ribosomal RNA
Rfam family: Bacterial small subunit ribosomal RNA
Source: RNAcentral
GACGAACGCUGGCGGCGUGCUUAACACAUGCAAGUCGAACGGAAAGGCCCUGCUUUUGUGGGGUGCUCGAGUGGCGAACGGGUGAGUAACACGUGAGUAACCUGCCCUUGACUUUGGGAUAACUUCAGGAAACUGGGGCUAAUACCGGAUAGGAGCUCCUGCUGCAUGGUGGGGGUUGGAAAGUUUCGGCGGUUGGGGAUGGACUCGCGGCUUAUCAGCUUGUUGGUGGGGUAGUGGCUUACCAAGGCUUUGACGGGUAGCCGGCCUGAGAGGGUGACCGGCCACAUUGGGACUGAGAUACGGCCCAGACUCCUACGGGAGGCAGCAGUGGGGAAUCUUGCACAAUGGGCGGAAGCCUGAUGCAGAAACGCCGCGUGCGGGAUGACGGCCUUCGGGUUGUAAACCGCUUUCGCCUGUGACGAAGCGUGAGUGACGGUAAUGGGUAAAGAAGCACCGGCUAACUACGUG